RNAcentral lists this ribosomal RNA (403 nucleotides) under uncultured bacterium. RNAcentral's name for it is "bacterial SSU rRNA". It matches the Rfam family "Bacterial small subunit ribosomal RNA", at positions 28 to 426 of the family's 1533-position model. The record is from RNAcentral.
GAUGAACGCUAGCGGCAGGCUUAACACAUGCAAGUCGAGGGGUAGAAGCAGCUUGCUGCUUUGAGACCGGCGCACGGGUGCGUAACGCGUAUACAAUCUACCUUUUACAGAGGGAUAGCCCAGAGAAAUUUGGAUUAAUACCUCAUAGUAUUUUCGAAUCGCAUGAUUUGAUUAUUAAAGUUCCAACGGUAAAAGAUGAGUAUGCGUCCCAUUAGCUAGAUGGUAAGGUAACGGCUUACCAUGGCAACGAUGGGUAGGGGUCCUGAGAGGGAGAUCCCCACACUGGUACUGAGACACGGACCAGACUCCUACGGGAGGGCAGCAGUGAGGAAUAAUUGGACCAAAUGGGCGGCAAAGCCUGAUCCAGCAUGCCGCGUGCAAGGAAGACGGUCCUAUGGAUUGU